CCCCAAGCCGACCUAGCUACCAACCGCGUUAAAGAAAGAGAUCGACUUGUUCGCAAGAGAGACACGACUAAAAUAGGUCACAAAGAAAGGAAAAGGAUGUUCAAUAUGGUAGCGUAGCUGCUGAAACGUGAAGCUUGGACACUUGAACCAGUAGUUGUCACGCUCUUAAGGCUGUUAUUACGCCAAAGUCGACAUGAAACGGCGCCAACUAACCCUUCAGCGGUAAAUAAAGGCUUGUAGCGCUUACGGAAAGGUUAAUUGCUGUUUUUUUGGCCAAAAUGUUGGUUUAAAACUCAACAAAAGAUUACAAAUUUGUUUUACCUCAAAAAUGAUUUCCUCCUGUAUAAACUUUGCUUCAAAGCGCUUCCAAAUAUUGCCAAGUAGAGAAGCAAUUAAUUUUUUUCGCAGUCGCUACAGAAGGUAGGCGCCAUGAUAAAAUAGGUAUUAUAUUGCGCACAUAGGGACAUUUUGCGCGUAUUCUGUGACGUUUUUCUGUCUUCCCUGUAUUUUUACUUUCCGAGCGUAAGUAAAUGUAAAUUGGAGAUUCCGUUACAAAUAAAAUAAAUUAUAUUAAAUUAAAUUAAAUUAAAUUAAGAAAGAUUAGUGAUCGAGUCCAUCGGCCGAAUUACCACUUUCAUAUUUUUAUGACAUGUCAUGACAUCUAGAGUACGAAAACAGUGGUCUCCCAUUUCCGUCUGUCUGUACUGAAUUCGAAUUUUCAUCCUAGACAGAGAAUUUUUGGAAAAAAUUUAAAACUGAAUAACAACAUUUUGCAAUAUAACUUUGAAACUGCAAAACCGAUAAUUUUUGUUUUCAUUUUGUUUCUGCACGAUACGUAACCUUUUAAAUUUUUCGAAUUUCCAAGUUUUGGUUGUAUAAAUUUUUCGAUUUAGCAAUUUUUUAGAUUUGCAAUUUCAGGAGUUUUGAACUGUUAGAUUUUCAAUUUUUCGAUUUUUCAAAAUAUCAUUUCUUUAAUUUUUCAUAUCUCAAUUUUUCGAUUUGCAAUUUUUCGUUUCGGUUUUUUGUUUUUUUCCCAUUUUUUCGGUUUUUCAGUGUACUGAUAUAAUUUUUUUUUCUCAAUCUGAAAUUCUUCAAUUUUUGGUUUUUUCAAUCUGUUGACUUUUCAAUUUUUCGAUUUUUCAAUUUUUCUUUUCCUGAAUUUUUCCAUUUGCAAUUUCUUAAUUUUUCAUUUUUUUGGUUGUCAAUUUCACGGUAUGUAAAUCUUCGGAGUUUCGUUUUAAAAUUUUUCACUUUUUCGAUUUUCCAACUUUUGGUUGUUUCAAUUUUUCGAUUUUCAAUUUCACUAGUAAUUUUUACUUUUUCAAUUUUUCGAUUUUUUCGAAUUUUGAUUUCUUCAAUUUAUCAUUUUUCAAUUUUUGAUUUGCAAUUUUUCAGUUUUUCAUUUUUAAAUCUUUCAGUUUUUCGAUUUUCCAACUUUUGGAUGUUUCAUUUUUUUGAUUCAAUAAUUUUUCGAUUUGCAAUUUCACGAGUUUUCAGUUUUUAAUUUUCCAAUUUUUCGAUUUUUCAAAUUAUCAUUUCUUCAGUCUUUCAUUUUUUAAUUUUUCGCUUUUUUUAUUUUUUUCAUUUCUUCAAUUUUUGGAUUUUUUAGUAAAAUUUUUAGUUUUGCAAUUUUCGAUUUUUCACCUUUUUUUGGUUCUUGAAUUUCACUCUUCAAGUUAUCAUUUUAAAAAUUUUUCAGUUUUUCGAUUUUCCAACUCUUGGAUGCUUUUUUAAUUUAAGAAUUUUUAUAUUUGUCAUUUCACGAGUUUUAAAUUUAGAAUUUUUUAAUUUUUCGAUUUGUAAUUUUUCGCUUUUUUUUUAUUUUCUUUUAUUUCUUCAAUUUUUGGAUUUUUCAGUGCUCUGAUAAUUUUUUUUUCUCAAUGUGAAAUGUUUCAAUUUUUGAACUUUCAAUUUUUCGAUUUUUCAUUCAUUUCUUGAACUAUCCAUUUUUCAAUUUUUCGAUUUGAAAUUUUUCGUUUCGGUUUGUUUUUUUUUUAUUUCCUCAGUUCUUUGGUUUUUUAUUGUUGUUUUAUUUUUUUAUUUUUUUUCUAAAAGAGAAAUUUCUCAAUUUUUGGUUUUUUCAGUUUUUAUGAAUUGCAAAUUUUCCUGUUUUCAAUUUUUCAUUUUUUUGGGUUCUUCAAUUUCACGAUAUUUAACUCUUCGUGUUUUCAUUUUAAAAAUUUUUCAGUUUUUCGAUUUUCCAACUCUUGGAUGUUUGAAUUUUUAUAUUUGCCAUUUCACGAGUUUUAAAUUUAGAAUGUUUCAAUUUUCGAUUUGCACCUUUUUGUUUGGUUUUUUUAUUUUUUAUUUCUUCAAUUCUCCAUUUUUCGAUUUUUCGAUUUGUAAUUUUUCGGUUUUCCAUUGUUCCAAUUUCAAAAUUUUCUCUUUCUCGGUGUGAAAUGUUUCAGUUUUUGGAUUUUUGGAAUUGCAAUUUUUCAAUUUUUAUUAUUUUGUUUUGUUUCUGCACGAUAUGUAACUUUUCAAAUUGUUAAGAUUCCAGGUUUUGGUUGUAUUAAUUUUUCGAUUUAGCAAUUUUUGGAUUUGCAGUUUCACGAGUUUUCAACUUUUAAAUUUUCUAUUUUUCGAUUGCAAUUUUUCGUUUCGUCCAGUUUUCCGGUUUUUGAAUGUUCUGAUUUAAUUUUUUUUUGUCAACGUGAAAUUCUUCAAUUUUUGGUUUUUUCAAUUUAUGAUUUGCGAUUUUUGAUUUUUCAAUUUUUCGAUUUUUCAAUUUUCCUCUUCCUCAAUUUUUCGAUUUGCAGUUUUUUAGCUUUUAAUUUUUUUUGCUUUUCAAUUUAGGAUAUGUAACUCUUCGAAUAUUUCAUUUUACAAUUUUUCAGUUUUUCGAUUUUCCAACUUUUUAUUGUUUCAAAUUUUCGAUUUAGCAAAUUUUUCGAUUUUCAAUUUUUUUCUUUUUCAUUUUUCAAUUCUUCCAUUUAGAAUUUUUCUUUCCGGUUUUUGUUUUUUUUUUAAUUCUUCAAUUUUUCGAUUUUUCAAUUUUUCUUUUCAUCAAUUUUUCGAUUUGCAGUUUUGUAAUUUUUAAUUUUUUUGCUUUUCAAUUUACGAUAUGUAACUCUUCGAAUAUUUCAUUUCAAAAUUUUUCAGUUUUUCGAUUUUCCAACUUUUUAUCGUUUCAAUGUUUCGAUUUAGCAAAUUUUUCAAUUUUCAAUUUCACUAGUUUGCAAUUUUUAGUUUUUCAAUUUUUCAUUUUUCAAUUUUUUUCGUUUCUUCAAUUUUUCGAUGUGUAAUUUUUCGUUCCGUUUUAUUGUAUUUCUUCAAUUUUUCAUUUUUCAAUUUUUCGAUUUAGAAUUUUUCUUACCGGUUUUUGUUUUUUUUAUUUCUUCAAUUUUUCGGUUUUCUAUUGUUCCAAUUUCAAAAUUUUCUCUUUCUAGGCGUGAAAUGUUUCAGUUUUCGGAUUUUUCAAUUUCUCGUUUCUUCAAUUUUUAUUUUUUUUCUGCCCGACAUGUAACUUUCCAAAUUUUUAAGAUUUUUGACUUUCCAGGUUUUGGUUGUAUGAAUUUUUCUUUUCAUCAAUUUUUCGAUUUGCAGUUUUGUAAUUUUUAAUUUUUUUGCUUUUCAAUUUACGAUAUGUAACUCUUCGAAUAUUUCAUUUCAAAAUUUUUCAGUUUUUCGAUUUUCCAACUUUUUAUUGUUUCAAUUUUUCGAUUUAGCAAAUUUUUCGGUUUUCAAUUUCACUAGUUUGCAAUUUUUAGUUUUUCAAUUUUUCAUUUUUCAAUUUUUUUCGUUUCUUCAAUUUUUCGAUUUGUAAUUUUUCGUGCCAUUUUAUUUUUUAUAUCUUCAAUUUGUCAUUUGUCAAUUUUUCGAUUUAGAAUUUUUCUUUCCUGUUUUUGUUUUUUAUAUUUCUUCAAUUUUUCGGUUUUCCCUUGUUCCACUUUCAAAAUUUUCUCUUUCUCGGCGUGAAUGUUUCAGUUUUUGGAUUUUUCAAUUUUUCGUUUCUUCAAUUUUUAUUCUUUUUUUUUUGUUUCUGCACGACAUGCAACUUUCCAAAUUUUUAAGAUUUUUGAUUUUCCAGGUUGUGAUUGUAUCAAUUUUUCGAUUUAGCAAUUUGCGAUUUUUGAUUUUUCAAUUUUUCUUUUUCUCAAUUUUUCGUUUUGCAGUUUUUUAAUUUUAAUUUUUUUUUGCUUUUCAAUUUACGAUAUGUAACUCUUCGAUUUUCAAUUUCACUAGUUUGCAAUUUUUAGUUUUCAAUUUUUCAUUUUUCAAUUUUUCGAUUUGCUAUUUUUCAGUUUUUGAUUUUUUUUUUCGUUUCUUCAAUUUCACUUAAAUGAAAACUCUUCGGGUUUUCAUUUUUCAAUUUUUCAGUUUUUCGAUUUUCCAAUUUUUGGAUGUUUCAAUUUUUCGAUUUAACAACCGAAUUAAAAAAAAACGCUGCGGGACUCGACUUUUUCAAAUUUGUAAAAAAUAAAACACCAACACCUCAAAAGAUUUUUUCAAGUUCAUGCAGCAACGAUUCCUUUAAAUUUAUCCGAAAAUAAAACACCAGGGGACCUAAAAUUAACUGAAAACAUAUUUAAACGUAGUAUUUUGACAAUUUUGACAAUUUUUAAUACGACAAACAUUUUUAACUGCUUACUCGAUUUUUGCUGUUUUGUACCUUCGCUUUAUAUCAGGCAAGCAUUGUUGUCAAAUGGAAUUUUAUCAAACUAUUACAAAAACAACAGAAACUUAUCUUUGUAUUGUACAUUAUUACUAAGUAGUUAUUGAAUGCGUUGUUUAGUUAAACGUAGCAAACGAACCAAUUUUAAAAUCAUUAUAACUGUAUCAAAAUGCGAGAAGGAAUUUUUUUACUAUUUUUCCCAUUAUUUUUCCUUCGUGCUUUUGUAUGAAAUUCCUAGUCCUCCUCUGAAUGACGUCACCUUGAAAAUAAUUGCAUCGUGGCUAGGGGCCAUAUCUUGUCUCCUCUAUCGCAGCAACAGCCUUAAGUUCCCGACGUUCCCCCCGCAUUUAAGCUGUUUUAUGAUCUUGUCGGGAGGUGCAGGAGCGCCCCGCCCCAAGUCCUAUUAAUCUGGAGUCAUAAAACGACGUCUCAUCAAUUAAUCCUCCCGGUGGCAAAAAAUCGCGGUUGCCGCUUCCAGCACUCGCUCUUCGUGAAGCCAUGUUUCAUCGGUUGCCAUAAAUUAAACGAAAAAUUUAUCAAGAUUUCGCAACUUUAUAUUAAGUUCUCGUGGCGGCAGGUUAUGAAUGGCCACAACAAAACUAAAAAGUUUUGUUCGAAAGAUGGUCAGCCGCCACUUCAUUCAGGUGAUCGAUAGCGGCCAUGUUUUUCACGAAAGUGAAAAUGCAGAUUCGCUCAUCCAUUGCUCAUCCCUUUUCGUUUAAAAUUCAACUUCCAGGCGUUACAAGCGGUAAUAAAAUACAGAUAAGCUAAAUAUUAGUAUAAUUCAUUACUUUAUUAUUUCAGGGAAAUUCGUAGGUCAUGUUUAAAUAUAAACUUCAAAUAGCUUCCGGUGGUUCAGCUUCCUUGAUGAAUUUUGAAAUAACAAUAGGCGGUUACCUGAAUUAGCUCAAUAUUUAUUAUUCCUUCCAAAACAAAUUAAAAUCGGAGAGGGGAGCGCACCGUGGGAGUAGAAAAACACCAAGACGGAUGGAACAAAGACGAUCGGAACAUUUAUUUGGUUAUGGAUGUCAGAUUUACUCUAGCUUACGGUGCGGGAUAUAACACUCCUCCCUCGCAUUCCCGAUCAACGUCGAGCUACUUUUGACGUCUUCCCUCUCGAGCAAAAUUUUGGAAAAUGCGCUAACCGGUCGACGUCGAUUAUGAGUAAAUUAUGGAACGCUCCUGAGGAUGUUUCAGGAAAAAAGAUCCAUCUCCAUUAUUUAACUUUUCAAUUCGGAGCCACUUAAUAUUCAACUUAAGGUCCAAACACCGUCCGUUUUAUUUUUUUAUGCUUGACGAGCUCAUUAAACACUAAAGCGCCGUCUCAAACGAGCACAAGUCAAAAAGAAAACGAGUAAAACCUUAAAUAAUCCCCAUUCGUCGUUGCCAUUUUAUUCCGACAACUACAUAAAUAAUCCUCCCCCGGAAAAACUAGAACAACAAGGAGCGAGAGCAAAGCCGACCUAAGCUAUCCUUAAUAAUUGAAAACAUUAGUCGCUGACAUGUAGAACUUGACCCUCAUUAACAAUGGAAAUCCUGCGAAUGCAGUCGCGAUGAGUCGACAAAAAUCCCGAAAAACUUUAAUUACCAAGUUUGCAGACGGCGUAAUUGGAUAAAUUUUAAACUUGGAAACCGACACCUCAAUACAAAGCUUUAAAUCCGAAAAGUGCGCCUCAUUAUCAGAUCGCGGAGCGCGGAGAUUAAUUAAAAGUUGGACCGCGGUUCCGGAGAGGUGCCGCUUGUAUUGGCAGAUGUAGGCGGCCAAUUAGGCAGGACAGAGCUAGGCGUAAUUGAGCCAACUUCGUCGAGAAUCUUAAAACUGACGCCCGUUUUCCGCACACAAAGAAAAAAUAAAUUGCGAAAGACGACUUUCGAUUCAAUUAAGAAUGGCCAAGGUCGCGUUCACGAACUGGAACCGUCGGGUUCGU
Zophobas morio is the source of this 6543-nucleotide long non-coding RNA. RefSeq lists it as uncharacterized. NCBI's taxonomy places the organism in Eukaryota, Metazoa, Arthropoda, Insecta, Coleoptera, Tenebrionidae. The transcript has 2 exons. The record is from RefSeq and is a predicted model, not a curated record.